UCCGUUGGUGAACCAGCGGAGGGAUCAUUACAGAGUUGCAAAACUCCCUAAACCAUUGUGAACGUUACCUAAACCGUUGCUUCGGCGGGCGGCCCCGGGGUUCUCCCCGGGCGCCCCUGGGCCCCAUCGCGGGCGCCCGCCGGAGGUCACCAAACUCUUGAUACUUUAUGGCCUCUCUGAGUCUUCUGUACUGAAUAAGUCAAAACUUUCAACAACGGAUCUCUUGGUUCUGGCAUCGAUGAAGAACGCAGCGAAAUGCGAUAAGUAAUGUGAAUUGCAGAAUUGCACGUGAAUCAUCGAAUCUUUGAAUGCACAUUGCGCCCGCCAGUAUUCUGGCGGGCAUGCCUGUUCGAGCGUCAUUUCAACCAUCAAGCCCCCGGCUUGUGUUGGGGACCUGCGGCUGCCGCAGGCCCUGAAAAGCAGUGGCGGGCUCGCUGUCACACCGAGCGUAGUAGCAUACAUCUCGCUCUGGGCGUGCUGCGGGUUCCGGCCGUUAAACCACCUUCAUAACCCAAGGUUGACCUCGGAUCAGGUAGGAAGACCCGCUGAACUUAAGCAUAUCAAUAAGCGGAGGA
Molecule: ribosomal RNA, 575 nt
Filed under: uncultured fungus
Lineage: Eukaryota; Fungi
Description: eukaryotic LSU rRNA
Rfam family: 5.8S ribosomal RNA (bases 204-359)
Source: RNAcentral